This is a non-coding RNA of Paramuricea clavata, 245 nucleotides long. NCBI's taxonomy places the organism in Eukaryota, Metazoa, Cnidaria, Anthozoa, Malacalcyonacea, Plexauridae. The record is from the annotation of a GenBank genome assembly.
CCACGACAUCUCCUGCAGCAAUUAGUGGGUGCAAAUACUUGCAUAGUUCAGAAGCAAUAUAACCAACAUGUGUCCAUACAGUUCCAUAGUCUAGAUCAAUAGGCAAUUCCAGCUUUUAAUUUAUGCAUGCAGGGGGUGAUGGGAAGUAAGGUAUCAUAUUGCUGAUUAUGCUGAAAAAUUUUAAUAAACUACCUAAACAACCAAAAUAUUUCAAUAUUUACAAGAGCUAUCUCUCCAUGUUUACA